AUGGCGGCUCCGGCGAGCGGCGGCCGCGGCAGGGCGCGCUCGUGCGAGACGGCGGAGCAGACCCGCGAGUGGAUGGAGGCCAUCGCCUCCUUCCUCGGGCGCCACCGCCCGCUCCUCGAGGCCCACGUCGUCAACUUCUUCAAGGAUAGGCUGUGGGAGAUGGUGGAUGCCGACUGGAUGGAGUGCCUCCGCCGGGAGCCCGUCGAGAGCCUGCUCAUGUUGCCUUCCGGCUGCGUCCAGGACCAUUGGCCAAGUUCACUACAGGAAUUUAUACUCACUGCGAGGUCGCUUGUUCUUCCACGUGAGCAAAAAUCGCCACAAUCCUUUUUACCUAAUUCGCGCGUCGCAUCAAUUGGUACUGUUCUUGCUCAAGGCAUGAACUCUAAGAAGAAGCACGAAAUUGAAGCCCUAUCUGGGAUCGUUGAUGCAAUUGCUAGGAGUCGUGGAGCCAAGACAGUGGUUGAUGUAGGUUCUGGUCAGGGUUAUCUUGCACAAGCUUUAUCCUUUGAGUACCAACUCGCCGUUAUAGCAAUAGAUGCUUCAUCACAUCAUGCUUCUGUUACAAAUACUCGUGCAGAGAGGAUAAAGAAGCACUAUGCUGCUAAAUGUGUAGAGAAGCAACAGUUCAAAGUGCCAAGAACUGUCACUUGUCAUGUUCUUUCUAGUGACACAUUGGCAGCUGUGACGUUGGAUGCAUGUCAAGAUGACCAUGGUGAACAUAUAACAGAAACUAACAACUGUAAUCAGAGUAUUCCUCAGAUUGAGCAACCAAAUCAUAGCAUUCCUCAAUUAGUCCUUGCUGGUCUUCAUGCCUGUGGUGAUCUUUCAGUUAACAUGCUAAGGGUUUUCGUGUCCUGUGAACAAGUACAAGCAUUGGUAAGUGUCGGAUGCUGUUACAACUUGUUGUCUGAGGAUACAGACACCUGCCCUGGUUUUCCUAUUAGCAAGGCUGCUAAAUCAUCUAAGCUGGUGCUUGGCAAAAGCAUCCGUGACCUAGCUUGCCAGAGCGCAGAAAGAUGGAGAAACCUCACCAAGGAAAUGGCCCUACAAAAUUUUGAUAUACAUGCCUUCCGAGCAGCUUUUCAAAUGGUACUUGAGAAAUAUUUCCCUGAAGUGUCAAGAUUGAGUCCAUCAAUUGGAAGGCAAGGAAAAGCACUGCGCCGUCAAAGGCUUCGAAAAGUUAUGGAAUCCCAUUUGGCUAUGGGGAAAGCUGAUGAUUUAUCCUAUCCUAACUGCAAGGAACAACACAUGAAUACAGAUGGUUCAUUGCCCACAGAACCAACUGCUCCUAAAGGGGCUGUCGAGUGUUGCAGCAACGAACUUUGUACAGGUGAUACUUACUCAACUUCAGCAGUUGUUGGUUCAUCCAUAUCAAGAGUUAACGUGGGACCAAGUGACACCAAUCUUGAUGAAUGUUGCAAGUUCACUCUUUUCAAAGAUUUCACAAUCUCUGGAUUAGGGCGUCUUGGCUGUGGUUUUGUGGAAGAUGUUAAUCUACUCGAAAUAUGGAAGGAUGUGCAACACUUCACCGAGUUCAUAGGUCCCUUUUGGUGCCUCCGGGCUGCUUUAGGUCCACUGGUGGAAACAUAUAUUUUACUUGAUCGGUUACUGUUUCUUCAAGAGCAAGGAAGUGCAGUUGAAGCGUCAUUGUUUCCUCUGUUUGAUCCCGCCAUGUCUCCAAGGAAUAUGGCACUAGUUGCUUGGAAGUUAACGGGUGAUCCUUUAGAACCAAGUCAUGAUAUGGGAAUGUACAAGAGAUUGCCCUCGAGCAGCGUGCCUUUAUCCAAUAAAUGCUAG
RNAcentral lists this ribosomal RNA (1797 nucleotides) under Triticum aestivum (bread wheat). RNAcentral's name for it is "partial small subunit ribosomal RNA". Lineage: Eukaryota; Viridiplantae; Streptophyta; Magnoliopsida; Poales; Poaceae. The record is from RNAcentral.